UACGGAAGGGGCAAGCGUUGUUCGGAAUCAUUGGGCGUAAAGAGCGCGCAGGCGGUCGUUCAAGUCGCGUGUGAAAGCAUGCGGCUCAACCGCAUAGGGUCGGUAGAAACUGCAAGACUCGAGGCUGGGAGGGGCUGGUGGAAUUCCCUGUGUAGCGGUGAAAUGCGUAGAUAUAGGGGAGAACACUCGUGGCGAAGGCGGCCAGCUAGACCAGUCCUGACGCUGAGGCGCGAAAGCGUGGGGAGCAAACAGG
Molecule: ribosomal RNA, 253 nt
Filed under: uncultured bacterium
Lineage: Bacteria
Description: partial 16S ribosomal RNA
Rfam family: Bacterial small subunit ribosomal RNA
Source: RNAcentral